This 448-nucleotide ribosomal RNA is filed under the name uncultured bacterium. RNAcentral describes it as "bacterial SSU rRNA". It matches the Rfam family "Bacterial small subunit ribosomal RNA", at positions 329 to 793 of the family's 1533-position model. The record is from RNAcentral.
GGCCAGACUCCUACGGGAGGCAGCAGUGGGGAAUAUUGCACAAUGGGGGAAACCCUGAUGCAGCAACGCCGCGUGAAGGAAGACGGUUUUCGGAUUGUAAACUUCUGUUCUUAGUGAAGAAUAAUGACGGUAGCUAAGGAGCAAGCCACGGCUAACUACGUGCCAGCAGCCGCGGUAAUACGUAGGGGGCAAGCGUUAUCCGGAAUUACUGGGUGUAAAGGGAGCGUAGACGGUGAUGCAAGUCUGGAGUGAAAGGCGGGGGCCCAACCCCCGGACUGCUCUGGAAACUGUAUGACUUGAGUGCAGGAGAGGUAAGCGGAAUUCCUAGUGUAGCGGUGAAAUGCGUAGAUAUUAGGAGGAACACCAGUGGCGAAGGCGGCUUACUGGACUGUAACUGACGUUGAGGCUCGAAAGCGUGGGGAGCAAACAGGAUUAGAUACCCCUGUAA